Molecule: ribosomal RNA, 739 nt
Filed under: uncultured Prevotellaceae bacterium
Lineage: Bacteria; Pseudomonadati; Bacteroidota; Bacteroidia; Bacteroidales; Prevotellaceae
Description: bacterial SSU rRNA
Rfam family: Bacterial small subunit ribosomal RNA
Source: RNAcentral
UUAUGUGCUUGCACAUUUUGGACGUCGACCGGCGCACGGGUGAGUAUCGCGUAUCCAACCUGCCCUUUACUUGGGGAUACCCCGUUGAAAGACGGCCUAAUACCCGAUGUAAUUCAUUGAUGGCAUCAGAUAUGAAUAAAAGAUUUAUCGGUAAAGGAUGGGGAUGCGUCUGAUUAGCUUGUUGGUGAGGUAAUGGCUCACCAAGGCGACGAUCAGUAGGGGUUCUGAGAGGAAGGUCCCCCACAUUGGAACUGAGACACGGUCCAAACUCCUACGGGAGGCAGCAGUGAGGAAUAUUGGUCAAUGGGCGCAAGCCUGAACCAGCCAAGUAGCGUGCAGGAAGACGGCCCUAUGGGUUGUAAACUGCUUUUAUACGAGAAUAAUUUGAUGCACGUGUGCGUUAUUGCAUGUAUCGUAUGAAUAAGGACCGGCUAAUUCCGUGCCAGCAGCCGCGGUAAUACGGAAGGUCCAGGCGUUAUCCGGAUUUAUUGGGUUUAAAGGGAGUGUAGGCGGUUUGUUAAGCGUGUUGUGAAAUUUAGAUGCUCAACAUUUAACUUGCAGCGCGAACUGUCAGACUUGAGUACACGCAACGUAUGCGGAAUUCAUGGUGUAGCGGUGAAAUGCUUAGAUAUCAUGAAGAACUCCGAUUGCGAAGGCAGCAUACGGGAGUGUAACUGACGCUUAAGCUCGAAGGUGCGGGUAUCGAACAGGAUUAGAUACCCUGGUAGUCCGCACAGUA